This is a non-coding RNA of Triticum aestivum (bread wheat), 130 nucleotides long. The record is from Rfam. Lineage: Eukaryota; Viridiplantae; Streptophyta; Magnoliopsida; Poales; Poaceae.
UUAAUACUCCCUCCGUCCGGAAAUACUUGUCCUGGAAAUGGAUGUAUCUAGACUUAUUUUAGUUAUAGAUACAUCCAAUUUAUCCAUUAUUUGAACAAAUAUUUCCCGAAAGCCGGAUAGGGAGUACCUA